Molecule: long non-coding RNA, 1984 nt
Organism: Papaver somniferum (opium poppy)
Lineage: Eukaryota; Viridiplantae; Streptophyta; Magnoliopsida; Ranunculales; Papaveraceae
Exons: 7
Source: RefSeq, a predicted model, not a curated record
UUAUCUUCUUCUCCUCUCUCUUUUUUCGAUUUUCUUCCCCUUCUAAACCUAAGCCGCUACCCUUCUAAACCUAAAUCGAAUCGAAAACCAGGUUCUGAGAAAUCAAAAUCCAUCUCUCCUGAACCCUAACCUGAUAAAUCUAAACCCCCAUCUCUCCAAAAUGCUAUCUUGUUUUCUUGUUUUUACUCUUCAAAACCCUAGUCGAGAUUUUCGAAUUCAAAACAAGUUUUCAGAAAUCAAAAAUUUAUCUCUCCUAAAUUCGAAUCUCAUCAAUCGAAACCCUUAGAAAUAAGUUAGAUCCGAGAUUUGUGGUUUUUCUCAUGGUUAGAAAGUUCGAAUGGAGGAUUUUAGAUCUGAGAAUUGUAAAAAUGGUGGUUCGUCGUUAUCAAAGAGUUGGAGUUGGCGAUCCUGAAUUACAAAGAAAUAAAAGAGUUGCUAGUUUUAAAGUUUAUGCUGCUUAAGGAAAGAUGAAAGGGUCUUUCAGAAGAAGCUUAAUAGCAAGGGAUUGCGUUGGCGGCUAACCAUGUGAAAUACAUCCUUAUAUACAGGAUUGCAUAGGAGGAUGGUUUGAAAGCUUCUCGUCUCGGCAUAGUCACAUAUAAUGCAAGUGUUCGCCACAGUGAUGAGUACAACACUGGGAUUGAGUACACCUGUAGAUGAGCGUCAUACUAGCUAUCAAUGCAUGGUUAGGCGGGCGGGGGAAAGCUAAUGGUGUCACAUAUGAGUCACUACUUCCGCAGUUUAUGUUCACCUCCUGGAGAUUGAAUGAUUAUUCCACUUCCUCCGCCAUACGAUCCACAUGGAGGAUACCCCGUGCCUCCACUAGCAAUGACUGCACCAUCCCCUCUACCACCACACGAUGGGUAUGCACCUGUCCAGGAUGAUGGCGAAGAAUACAAAUUUUGGGGAGAAGGCAUUGGAACCACAAGUGCUUGUAAUGUUUUUUUUUUAUUGAGUAGAAAUGUAAUGGAGAACUGAGACCACUUUAUCAGAAAAGAAAUGAGAUUGUCCAAACAAUUCCCAACUUCUGGUUAUUAGCGGGUAGUAAUUUAACCAUCCUCCCUUGCUCGAAGAGUUUGUUUUUCACAUAUGCAAUUCAUGUUUUCAAUCAUUGACAGUUACUAUCUUCCCAAACUGGAGAUACACAUGCAUCUUAAAUUCUUUCUUUGCUACUCCUUGGUGACUACUUACUAACAUUGCUUAAUACUUCCAAUUCUUGUUUUGCUUAACCUGUCCGAUUUCUAUUGUUUUCUAAUCAAACUAGUUUUGUAUGGUGUGCAGUUCUUUCUCCAUUCCUUUAAAGAGCAAUUACAGCAGCGCGUUCGUGUUCAUGCAGUGGCGUGUUGGCAGCUUGAGCAAUCUCUCCAAAGUCUAACAGCACAUGUUUAAGAUGGAGCAGGAAGAGUACAGCAAGGAAAAAAUUUACCGGAGCAACAUUGAGUUCAUUGACAAACAAAAUGUCUUGUAUUUGACUGAAAAGAAACCAAACCAAAUCAAUUGCUCUAUUUGCUGGACAUCAAUGAUUAUGUGCCAGUUCUUGUUCUAAAGUAGGCAGCAUAUAUAUGCAUCCUGGUUGGAUAGUUUUUCAGAUGGCAGGAGCGAACAAUUUAACUGUUGGAUGUCUUCCGAGCAUCAAUCUCGCGUCACGUUGUUCAACCUGUUUCCCGCUGUCUUGUCAUCCUACUGUAAGAUUCUGGUUGAGAAGGAUUCAAAGACGUAGUUGUUUAUGAAGCUUAGUAAUGUUAAUGAUGGAUCAUUACAUCCUGUCCGUUCUGCCAAGUGCAGAAAAAGAACUAGGUUUGCUACUAAUGAAUCCCUGCUCUAAUACCUUGUUCGGGAUGAAAUUUCAUUGCGCAAGUUCAUACUGUUGUAGAAGUUUUAAGGAUGACUGAUUGUCUUAUCCAAUAAGGGUAAUAAUAUAUUUGUAAUAAUGGAAAUUCGUAAAUACCAAUACAGAUUUUGUAAAUUAUUCUUUUUAAUCUGA